Molecule: long non-coding RNA, 839 nt
Organism: Chinchilla lanigera (long-tailed chinchilla)
Lineage: Eukaryota; Metazoa; Chordata; Mammalia; Rodentia; Chinchillidae
Exons: 3
Source: RefSeq, a predicted model, not a curated record
UCAAGAGUGUGUCCCACACAGGGCAUAGUAAUGUGGCUCCUGUUCACGGGGCCUUGCCAACACUUGUGGGCAGAGCAGAAGCUCCUGGCCCACCCCAAGCCAGCAGACACCUUUGCAGUCAAGUAGUAGGGUAGCAGGACGCCCACACAGUCUUUGUCCAUACUUCCUGCCCACUAUUUUUCAAAUGUUUCUGUCCUUGGUGGCUUAAGUCUGAAGAUACAGUGCCUGCAGAUACAGAGAUGGAGGGCCAGCUGUGUUUCAAGAAGAAGGCAAAGUAACAAGCAUAGUGUUGGGCAACCUGUGCCCACCCCGCCUCAGCCUGACCACACAUCCUGUGACCUGGCCCCGUGACCUCUGCCAUCUAAGGGAGGAAGUGGCCACAGUUGUCAUUGUCAGGUGACCACCACAGAGACUCUCAGAAUCUUCCCUUUCUACUCCUGCAUUUGAGCACCAAGCCUCGGGAACAGGUUAGCACAGAAAGAAGCAAGGAGUCUUGGAAGGAUGACUGACCACCUUGCAGGCCGUGUCGUUCACCUGCCCUGCACCCUUGACCUCCAGCUGCUUGGUGCCCAAAGCUUGUAGUUUGUCCUCCUAAGGUCGUGGCAUAGUCCGUGGACCUGUCCUGUCCUGUCCGAGAUCGCAGCUUCUUGUGUGUGGGGGCACAGUUCCUUCUCUGUCCCUGAGGUUUCUGGCUAAGCCUAAGAAUUAAACAGACCCAAGACAGAUGCACAGGAGAAAGGCAUACACAUUUUACUUAGUUAAAUUUAUACAGACACAGAAGUCUUUAUAAGAAAAAUUUGGACUUGGAAAAGCAGUUAAAACUGAACACUCUAGGUUGA